GUUAGUUUAAAAAAAAUAAUAGUUUGUCAAGCUAUUGUUGAUAAUAGUAUCACU
RNAcentral lists this transfer RNA (54 nucleotides) under Gyraulus sp. GE1. RNAcentral describes it as "tRNA-Asp". The record is from RNAcentral. Lineage: Eukaryota; Metazoa; Mollusca; Gastropoda; Planorbidae.